This 529-nucleotide ribosomal RNA is filed under the name Psectra nakaharai. RNAcentral describes it as "partial 16S ribosomal RNA". The stretch from base 396 to 529 matches the Rfam family "Bacterial large subunit ribosomal RNA", at positions 2473 to 2606 of the family's 2925-position model. Lineage: Eukaryota; Metazoa; Arthropoda; Insecta; Neuroptera; Hemerobiidae. The record is from RNAcentral.
AAAACAUGUCUUUUUGUUUAAAAUAUAAAGUCUAACCUGCCCAUUGAUUUAAUAUUAAAAGGCCGCAGUAUAUUGACUGUGCAAAGGUAGCAUAAUCAUUUGUCUCUUAAUUAGAGGCUUGAAUGAAUGGUUGGAUGAAAAAUUAACUGUCUCUUUUUAAUAAAUUAUGAAUUUAAAUUUUAAGUAAAAAUACUUAAAUAAAUUUAAAAGACGAGAAGACCCUAUAGAUUUUUAUUUUUAUAUAAUAUAUAUUUAUAAGAAUAUUAAUUAAUUAUUUAUUAUAUAAUAAUUUGAUUGGGGUGAUUAAAAAAUUUAAUUAACUUUUUAUUUUAUUAAACAUUAAUUUAUGAAAAUUUGAUCCUUUUUUAGUGAUUGAAAGAUUAAAUUACCUUAGGGAUAACAGCGUAAUUUUUUUGAAGAGUUCUUAUCAAUAAAAAAGAUUGCGACCUCGAUGUUGAAUUAAAAGUUAUAUUUAAAUGCAGAAGUUUAAAUGUUAGGUCUGUUCGACCUUUAAUUUUUUACAUGAUCU